Molecule: ribosomal RNA, 924 nt
Filed under: Umimayanthus parasiticus
Lineage: Eukaryota; Metazoa; Cnidaria; Anthozoa; Zoantharia; Parazoanthidae
Description: partial 12S ribosomal RNA
Rfam family: Bacterial small subunit ribosomal RNA
Source: RNAcentral
GAAGGCUCAUUAAGUCCGUUGAGGACGAGGCAGCAGUAGAGAAUAUUGUGCAAUGUACGGCAGUAUGACACAGAGAGCACACGCCCUCUUGGCCUGUCCAACUAAGUGCCAGCAGACGCGGUUAGACUUAGGGGCCAAGCCUUUAUGAGCAAAGGGGCGUAAAGGGUGUGUAGGCCGACUGCCCCACCCCCCCCAAGGUGGUAAAUGGAAUUUUUCUGUAGCGGUAGAAUGUGCGGAUAGAAAAUAGAACCCCAAAAGCAGAAGCAAUUUACCGCGGGGCGGGAGGGGGGGGCCCCUUGGGGCGCCCCUCCGGGUCACGGGCUGAAACACGAGGGUGUGGGGAACAAACAGGAUUAGAGACCCUGGUAGUCCACACUGUAAACGAUGGAGAAAAUGCGAAUGCAGCCCCGAAAGGCAGCAAUCUCCCGCCUGAGUAGUACGAUCGCAAGAUUAAAAUUCAAAAAAUUUGGCUGUUCACCGUUUCGAUUAGAGGAGCGUGUAGUUUAAUUCGAUAAACCGCGAGAUACCUUACCCAAACUUGAAUCGCCCCACCCGCGACCCGAGUGGGGUGACCGGUAUUGCAUGGCCGUCGUCAGUUCGUGUAUGAAACCUUAAACGGACCCAACCCGAGGAUUAGCCGCGGAUGAAGUCAGGUCUUAUGGUCCCAAUGUUUGGGGAUAAUAUGCGCUACAUUUUCUUAUACAAUGGGAAACCUGGGAGGUGAAACCCAAAAGUGAGAGUUCGGUAGGCUAUUGGAAGAUGGCCGAAAGUUGAAUUUAAUAGUAAUCGGAAAGUAUAGCGUUCCGGUGAAAAUGGUCUAGGUGUUAGCACAAAUCGCCCGUCACCUUAACUUAGGAUGAUGGUUCGGACGCCGCCGCGCCCCCACGGGCCCCGGCGGUUACGGGCCCCUACGAAGUUAAGCAA